CAGCCAGCUCGGUAAACACAGGUGCUAAAUAUCCCCCAGUGACUUCAGUCCUCUCCACUUAAGACAGUUCACCUGCUCCUGGCCUCUGCGAUUUCUGUUUUCUUUCUGAAAUGGCCGUGUGGCCAGGAAAUCUAUGUGUGUCACUCCGCCUGCUCCUAGCUCUUCCAACUUCAUCGACCAAGAACUGUUCCCAUGGGGUGGAAGUUCCAAACUGGCUUCUUAAAGAGACUUCUAAUUUCUUCCAAACUAAAUGGUAAAUCAACGAAGAAAACACAGGCCACCUUGCAAACCUCUUUGGGCUGCAGGUGCACUUCUGAGAGGAGUAAGGAGGAGUUUCUCCCCAGGAAGAGCCUGCCAAAAGAAGAGCAGUGUUCUAGGGUGGUGGUUCUUAAACGCUAGCAUGAGAAGGCACGGACUGCUGCCCCCUCUCCCCGCCCCCCCAGAGUUUCUGAUUCAAAAGGGCCAGGGUGGGGCUGGAGAAUUUGCAUUUCCAGCAAGCUGCCAGAAGAUGCUGAUGCUUCUAGUCCAAGAACCACUGUUCAAGGCAAAAGGGACAGACAGCAAAGCCUUGAGACAGCAAAGAGCUUGGUGCAUUCAAGGACUAGAAAGGAGUCUGGCGUGGCUGCAGG
RNAcentral lists this long non-coding RNA (629 nucleotides) under Equus asinus (donkey). RNAcentral describes it as "lncRNA (ENSEASG00005035859.1)". The record is from RNAcentral. Lineage: Eukaryota; Metazoa; Chordata; Mammalia; Perissodactyla; Equidae.